RNAcentral lists this ribosomal RNA (406 nucleotides) under uncultured bacterium. RNAcentral's name for it is "partial 16S ribosomal RNA". It matches the Rfam family "Bacterial small subunit ribosomal RNA", at positions 30 to 526 of the family's 1533-position model. The record is from RNAcentral.
AUUGAACGCUGGCGGCAGGCCUAACACAUGCAAGUCGAGCGAGUGGCGGACGGGUGAGUAAUGUAUGGGCAACUGCCUGAUGGAGGGGGAUAACUACUGGAAACGGUGGCUAAUACCGCAUACUAUCGGAUGAACCCAUAUGGGAUUAGCUAGUAGGUGGGGUAAAGGCUCACCUAGGCGACGAUCCCUAGCUGGUCUGAGAGGAUGAUCAGCCACACUGGGACUGAGACACGGUCCAGACUCCUACGGGAGGCAGCAGUGGGGAAUAUUGCACAAUGGGCGCAAGCCUGAUGCAGCCAUGCCGCGUGUAUGAAGAAGGCCUUAGGGUUGUAAAGUACUUUCAUCGGGAAAGCGUUACCCGAAGAAGAAGCACCGGCUAACUACGUGCCAGCAGCCGCGGUAAUAC